Molecule: long non-coding RNA, 699 nt
Organism: Athene cunicularia (burrowing owl)
Lineage: Eukaryota; Metazoa; Chordata; Aves; Strigiformes; Strigidae
Exons: 3
Source: RefSeq, a predicted model, not a curated record
AUGUCACUUUUCACAUCACGAGCCUGUAAGUGCACUUGGGGAGUCCUGAAAUUAAACCUUUCCCUUCUCCCCUCUUGGGCAAACUUCUUGCCUUCAAACCAGGUGCUUGGUAGCACCUUGGCACUGGGUGUGGUUGCUAUCAGCACAUCUGCUUAGAUGGUGAUGGAAAUUUCACAGGAGACUCUGCUGUGUCUGCCCAGACAGAUUGGGAAAACUUGGGGUUGAAGCUGUCCUGCCUCAUCAGGUCUGGGGCUGAGACCCAACCUUGGAGAGCCUGCUGUGGGACAAGGAGAAAGAAGAAACCACAUCUCUCUUGCAGCAGCAGUGACCCGUUUUCCUGGCAGGAGGAGGAAUCUGCUCCCCAGCUUCCCCUGGUUGCUUUUGAAGGCGAGCACGUGCUUCUCAGCGGCAGCCCCUGCUCACUGAAGACGCUCGGCCUCUCCACAAGGUCUUGCAUGCGUGCAGGGCAGAACUGGUGGGAGCCCAGGUAAUCUACUCUGCCUCUGAAAGUCCUCUGGUCACCAGCCCUUGGCUACCCUUGACCCUGGCAGCAUCUUCAAAGGGAGAAUGGGCCUGCUGCGGAGCGUGCAAUGUUUGCUCACUUAUCGGGCAAGCAGCUACUGCCUUCCUGCCUUGGGGGGUUUCGUCAGCCUCCUGCCACACUCCGGGGGAGACUGGUCAGCCACCGCUGCUUGCACA